Molecule: long non-coding RNA, 756 nt
Filed under: Callithrix jacchus (white-tufted-ear marmoset)
Lineage: Eukaryota; Metazoa; Chordata; Mammalia; Primates; Cebidae
Description: lncRNA (ENSCJAG00000052406.2)
Source: RNAcentral
CUGGCAUCUCCUAAAUCACCUUCCUGUAAAUAGCAGGCAUGGUGUGGGGGAAAUCUCUCUGGAAGACAUUGUUUUUACUUAAACAAGAUCAAACCCCCACCCCACUCCAAGAACCUUUCAUAUGUGAUUUCUAAAGCUGUAAACCCAAGACCCUUUCACUGGUAAUUUCUAAGGCAGUGAACCUAAGAUUUUUCAAUGUGUAAUAUCUAGAGUGUAAGCCUAUAUAAAGGCAGAGCCUCUCUUCCUUUAGACAAAUUGUCGCAUGGCUCCCAGCUGAAAUAAUAAUGAUAAUAAUAAUAAUAACAAUAAACACUUCUUCCUUCCCAGUUCGGUGUUUGAGAGGUCUGUUUCUUGAAGCAGCUCCUGCUUCACUUCUCUGAUGGUAGAAAGCAGUCUUCAGCCUGAGUCCCAUCCCUAGGACCUUGUUUAUUAUUUUUUGUCUUUGAGCAAAAGUUUUUUUCUUCUCAGUUGACGGAAUACUGUUUUCUUCAUAUGCUUCUGCUGUCUCUCCUUUUCUUCCACCUUCUCCUGCAUGUGGUACGUGAAACAGUUUAUAAUAGCCUGUGGCUCCUUAAAGAAAAUGGAGAAGGCACUAGAUUCCUUUUGGGGAGAAACCUGUUUUUUCUUACGGAACCCCAAGAACGUAAACAGAACUCUACAUCCCUGAAGCAGAAGUGGAGGAAAAAAGUGAAUGUUGCAGAGCUGGAGAUUGGCGGGGCAAGUUCAGCAGAGGAUGAAGACAGCUGGAAGCAAUAG